UACAGAGGGUGCAAGCGUUAAUCGGAAUUACUGGGCGUAAAGCGUGCGCAGGCGGUUUUGUAAGACCGAUGUGAAAUCCCCGGGCUCAACCUGGGAACUGCAUUGGUGACUGCAAGGCUUGAGUGUGUCAGAGGGAGGUGGAAUUCCGCGUGUAGCAGUGAAAUGCGUAGAUAUGCGGAGGAACACCGAUGGCGAAGGCAGCCUCCUGGGAUAACACUGACGCUCAUGCACGAAAGCGUGGGGAGCAAACAGG
RNAcentral lists this ribosomal RNA (253 nucleotides) under uncultured bacterium. RNAcentral's name for it is "partial 16S ribosomal RNA". It matches the Rfam family "Bacterial small subunit ribosomal RNA", at positions 524 to 776 of the family's 1533-position model. The record is from RNAcentral.